RNAcentral lists this ribosomal RNA (156 nucleotides) under Jahnula appendiculata. RNAcentral describes it as "5.8S ribosomal RNA". It matches the Rfam family "5.8S ribosomal RNA". Rfam says of the family: 5.8S ribosomal RNA (5.8S rRNA) is a component of the large subunit of the eukaryotic ribosome. The record is from RNAcentral. Lineage: Eukaryota; Fungi; Ascomycota; Dothideomycetes; Jahnulales; Aliquandostipitaceae.
AAACUUUCAACAAUGGAUCUCUUGGUUCUGGCAUCGAUGAAGAACGCAGCGAAAUGCGAUAAGUAAUGUGAAUUGCAGAAUUCAGUGAAUCAUCGAAUCUUUGAACGCACAUUGCGCCCCCUGGUAUUCCGGGGGGCACACCUAUUCGAGCGUCAU